Molecule: ribosomal RNA, 292 nt
Filed under: uncultured bacterium
Lineage: Bacteria
Also listed under: 1 other name
Description: partial 16S ribosomal RNA
Source: RNAcentral
GGACUACUCGGGUAUCUAAUCCCGUUCGCUCCCCUGGCUUUCGCGCCUCAGCGUCAGAAGGGGUCCAGCAGCCCGCUUUCGCCACCGGCGUUCCUCCCGAUAUCUACGCAUUUCACCGCUCCACCGAGAGUUCCAACUGCCCCUACCCCACUCGAGACACUCAGUCUCAGAGGCACUUCCCCGGUUAGGCCGGGGGCUUUCACCCCUGACUUGAAUGCCCGCCUACGCGCCCUUUAAGCCCAGUGAAUCCGAACAACGUUCGCACGGUUCGUCUUACCGCGGCUGCUGGCAC